RNAcentral lists this ribosomal RNA (155 nucleotides) under uncultured fungus. RNAcentral describes it as "5.8S ribosomal RNA". It matches the Rfam family "5.8S ribosomal RNA". Rfam says of the family: 5.8S ribosomal RNA (5.8S rRNA) is a component of the large subunit of the eukaryotic ribosome. The record is from RNAcentral. Lineage: Eukaryota; Fungi.
CAACUUUUCAACAACGGAUCUCUUGGCCCCUCGCAUCGAUGAAGAACGCAGCGAAAUGCGAUAAGUAAUGUGAAUUCCAGAUUUUCAGUGAAUCAUCGAAUCUUUGAACCACCUUUGCGCUCCUUGGUAUUCCGAGGAGCAUGCCUGUUUUGAGU